GAAACCAACAGGUAUAACCAUAUCACAGCCACAUACUUCCUGCUGGCUGAAAGGAUCCUGAGAGAAAAGCAAGAGAAAGAAAUACAGACCAGAUCUGCAAGCCCGAGCAAUAUCAAGGCCCAGUUUAGAGGGUCAGCUGGCCUGGAUUUAUUGAAGCUCUGCUUCCACUUCUUGCAGUGACUGCAUCUAUCCACCCCCUGGGCCGUGGGACUCUCCGGUGAAAACAGGAGUUUUUGCAUUUCUGAGGACUGAUGGCUCCACCAGAUUCACCAACCAGUCCUGUGGCCCUCACCCAGGAACUGACUCAGCUGAAGAAGACAGCUUUGACUCACUGUGAUUUCACCUCUGAUCCAAUUAGUCGGUACUCCCCCUUCCCUGGCCCCCUACCCACCAAACUAUCCUUGAAAAACUCUAGUCUGAAUUUUUGGGGAGACUGAUUUGAGUAAUAAUAAAACUGCUCUCAUGUUCAA
This 470-nucleotide small RNA is filed under the name Pan troglodytes (chimpanzee). RNAcentral describes it as "processed transcript". The record is from RNAcentral. Lineage: Eukaryota; Metazoa; Chordata; Mammalia; Primates; Hominidae.